GAUGAAGAACGUAGCGAAAUGCGAUAAGUAAUGUGAAUUGCAGAAUUCAGUGAAUCAUCGAAUCUUUGAACGCACAUUGCGCCCCUCGGUAUUCCGAGGGGCAUGCCUGUUCGAGCGUCAUAUUAACCACUCCCGCUUGCGGGGUCUUGGGCUUCGCCUCCGGGCGGGCCUUAAAAUCAGUGGCGGUGCCGUCGGGCUCUACGCGUAGUAAAUUUUCUCGCGAUAGGGUCCCGGUGGAUGCUUGCCAACAACCCCCAACUUCUUAAGGUUGACCUCGGAUCAGGUAGGGAUACCCGCUGAACUUAAGCAUAUCAAUAAGCGGAAGGA
Molecule: unclassified non-coding RNA, 327 nt
Filed under: soil metagenome
Description: partial contains 5.8S ribosomal RNA, internal transcribed spacer 2, and large subunit ribosomal RNA
Rfam family: 5.8S ribosomal RNA (bases 1-120)
Source: RNAcentral